RNAcentral lists this ribosomal RNA (253 nucleotides) under uncultured bacterium. RNAcentral describes it as "partial 16S ribosomal RNA". It matches the Rfam family "Bacterial small subunit ribosomal RNA", at positions 524 to 776 of the family's 1533-position model. The record is from RNAcentral.
UACGGAGGGUGCAAGCGUUGCUCGGAAUUAUUGGGCGUAAAGGGUAGGUAGGUGGUCUCAUUUGUCAGGGGUGAAAGCCUUGAGCUUAACUCAAGAAGUGCCCCUGAAACGGUGAGACUAGAGUGCUGGAGAGGGUCGUGGAAUUCCCGGUGUAGCGGCGAAAUGCGUAGAGAUCGGGAGGAACACCAGAGGCGAAGGCGGCGACCUGGACAGUUACUGACACUCAACUACGAAAGCGUGGGGAGCAAACAGG